This is a non-coding RNA of Manis javanica (Malayan pangolin), 794 nucleotides long. Lineage: Eukaryota; Metazoa; Chordata; Mammalia; Pholidota; Manidae. The record is from the annotation of a RefSeq genome assembly.
CAGCCCUGACCCUGCAGCUCUGGGAGAGGAGUCCCAGCCCCAGGAGUCCCAGGUGUCUCUAGUCUGUCAUCAGGACUCAACACACACCACUCACCAUGGAGUCUGGGCUGAGCUGGGUUCUCCUUGCUGCUCUUCUGGGAGGUGUGCAGUGUGAGGUGCAGCUUGUGGAGUCUGGAGGAGGCUUGGUGCAGCCUGGGGGGUCUCUGAGACUCACCUGUGCUGUCUCUGGAUUCAACAUUGGAAUUGCUGACAUAUGCUGGAUCCGCCAGGCUUCAGGGGAGGGGCUGCAGUGGGUCUCAAGCAUUAGUAGUGGUGGAAGCACUCACUACACUGACUCCGUGAAGGGCCGGUUCGCCAUCUCCAGAGACAACGCCAAGAACACGGUGUAUCUGCAAAUGGACAGCCUGACAGACAAGGACACAGCCCUGUAUUACUGUGCAGCAGACACAGUGAGGGGAAGUCAGCGUGAGCCCAGACACCAACCUCCCUGCAGGGACACAGCACGGGCUGGGCUGCAGGGGACUCAGGACACCAGGGGCGUGGGAUCCAGUGCAGGCUCAGCCCCAGGAGCAGGUGCAGGGGGAAGGGAAGGGCUGGCUUCCUGUGAGGUCUGGGGCUUCCUCUCCGCAUGGAAGCUCACCAGGGAAAUGUCUGUGUUUACCAUCCUUUGGGUCCACUCCCAGGUCCAGCUGGUGCAGUCUGGUGCUGUGCUAAAGAAGCCAGGUGCAUCCGUGAAGGUCCCCUGCAAGGCACCCAGAGACACCUUCACCAGCUACUGUAUAAGCCAGGUGUGA